UGCAACCUGAGCUCAGAUGUGAUUACCCGCUGAACUAAGCA
RNAcentral lists this ribosomal RNA (41 nucleotides) under Otostrongylus circumlitus. RNAcentral's name for it is "partial 28S ribosomal RNA". The record is from RNAcentral. Lineage: Eukaryota; Metazoa; Nematoda; Chromadorea; Rhabditida; Crenosomatidae.